RNAcentral lists this ribosomal RNA (497 nucleotides) under uncultured bacterium. RNAcentral's name for it is "partial 16S ribosomal RNA". It matches the Rfam family "Bacterial small subunit ribosomal RNA", at positions 28 to 507 of the family's 1533-position model. The record is from RNAcentral.
GAUGAACGCUGGCGGCGUGCCUAAUACAUGCAAGUCGAGCGAACGGACGAGAAGCUUGCUUCUCUGAUGUUAGCGGCGGACGGGUGAGUAACACGUGGAUAACCUACCUAUAAGACUGGGAUAACUUCGGGAAACCGGAGCUAAUACCGGAUGAUAUUUUGAACCGCAUGGUUCAAAAGUGAAAGACGGUCUUGCUGUCACUUAUAGAUGGAUCCGCGCUGCAUUAGCUAGUUGGUAAGGUAACGGCUUACCAAGGCAACGAUGCAUAGCCGACCUGAGAGGGUGAUCGGCCACACUGGAACUGAGACACGGUCAAGACUCCUACGGGAGGCAGCAGUAGGGAAUCUUCCGCAAUGGGCGAAAGCCUGACGGAGCAACGCCGCGUGAGUGAUGAAGGUCUUCGGAUCGUAAAACUCUGUUAUUGGGGAAGAACAUAUGUGUAAGUAACUGUGCACAUCUUGACGGUACCUAAUCAGAAAGCAACGGCUAACUACGUG